This 467-nucleotide ribosomal RNA is filed under the name uncultured bacterium. RNAcentral's name for it is "partial 16S ribosomal RNA". It matches the Rfam family "Bacterial small subunit ribosomal RNA", at positions 28 to 507 of the family's 1533-position model. The record is from RNAcentral.
GACGAACGCUGGCGGCGUGCUUAACACAUGCAAGUCGAACGGAAAGGCCUCAGCUUGCUGGGGUACUCGAGUGGCGAACGGGUGAGUAACACGUGGGUGAUCUGCCUUGCACUCUGGGAUAAGCUUGGGAAACUGGGUCUAAUACCGGAUAUGAACUGCCUUUAGUGUGGUGGUUGGAAAGUUUUUUCGGUGCAAGAUGAGCUCGCGGCCUAUCAGCUUGUUGGUGGGGUAAUGGCCUACCAAGGCGUUGACGGGUAGCCGGCCUGAGAGGGUGUACGGCCACAUUGGGACUGAGAUACGGCCCAGACUCCUACGGGAGGCAGCAGUGGGGAAUAUUGCACAAUGGGCGGAAGCCUGAUGCAGCGACGCCGCGUGGGGGAUGACGGCCUUCGGGUUGUAAACUCCUUUCGACAGGGACGAAGCUUUUUGUGACGGUACCUGUAUAAGAAGCACCGGCUAACUACGUG